CGGCCAAAUCCAGCCUGGGCCGCGGGGCGUGUGCGCCCGCCCGACCCCGAGCGGCCAUUCAGCGCUCCCCGGGCGCCCGGCGCGGCCCUUCAUAUGGAAACGGACCCGUCCUGACAGAUUGCGACGGGUCCCCGGCCUGGGGGCGGGGCCCAGAGGGAGGGGGCAGGGGACAGAAUGCCCUGCCAGCCUCCAAAACCGCCCAGGCAGGAUAGCUGCACCUCUCCCUCUGGGAAAACUGGAAGAAAAGAAAAUGCCAGAAAGUUAUGGUAAAACUUAAGAUGCGGCCGAAGUCGCUUUCUUUGCCCCUGCUGCGAGUGUUUGAAUAAGAAGAAUGCUCCUGGACUGUAACAAGCAAAAAGAAUGAAGAAGACAAAAGAUUUCCAGAAAAAGGUUUAGCUAGAAGACAAGGCAAGUGAAACUGAAAGGAGAAAAAAAGCAUUUACAAUGGAACAAUAAGUGUACUAAUCGCUUUGAUAUAUUAUACAAGCCCAAAGACCCAAAACAUUGUGUAAUUAUUUAUAAAUGACUUCUCCACUCCUGUGUAUAAUGCGGAGGAAAGAAUAAAACUGCAGGCUACUCUCUAAACUAUUUCUAAAUAGACCUGGUUCAAAAGAAGGCAGAAGUGUUUGAAAUAAAAUAAUUAAUGGUGGAUUUUAUGGUUGUCUCAUUAAAACAUUUUAA
Molecule: long non-coding RNA, 681 nt
Filed under: Ictidomys tridecemlineatus (thirteen-lined ground squirrel)
Lineage: Eukaryota; Metazoa; Chordata; Mammalia; Rodentia; Sciuridae
Description: lncRNA (ENSSTOG00000031503.1)
Source: RNAcentral